GUCGGGUGUUACAAAGAAAUGUUUGCCAGCGAAGAGCGUAUUUCGUACGCUUGAAUGCAGCACGGUAUCUAGAUGGAAUUUUAGAUUCUCAUCGACAGAACAUAAUUCACAUGACAAACGGCUUGAAUUAGUUUACAAGUGCGACUUUCGCGUGUCAUAACCAAGAAGGUGGCUUCCUCUGGAUUUUCCACAACAAUACCACCAAGUGAACUGCAAUAUUUAAAAAAUAAGUUUUAAUAACUUUUUUUAAUUAUAAAUCCGAAAAGUUAUUUUGAAACAAAAUAAUAUUAGAUGGAAUAAUAUUGAUUAAUAAAUAAUUUUAAAAAUA
Molecule: long non-coding RNA, 328 nt
Organism: Bactrocera neohumeralis
Lineage: Eukaryota; Metazoa; Arthropoda; Insecta; Diptera; Tephritidae
Exons: 2
Source: RefSeq, a predicted model, not a curated record